RNAcentral lists this ribosomal RNA (628 nucleotides) under Trochulus hispidus complex sp. 292 LK-2014. RNAcentral's name for it is "partial 12S ribosomal RNA". The record is from RNAcentral. RNAcentral also lists the same sequence under 1 other name. Lineage: Eukaryota; Metazoa; Mollusca; Gastropoda; Stylommatophora; Hygromiidae.
GAUUUUGUUACGGUCCUUAAUUUACACUACGGUUUUUAAUCAUGGAAUUUAUUGAUAGCCCAGCUACGAAAAUUUGGCGCGUUGAGAAAUCAAGCACAAGAAACCGUUUUACUUAGGGCCCAGCUAGUGCCAGCAGCCGCGGUCAUACUAACCUAGGGAGUAAAUAAUAUAAGUGAAUUGUAAACUAUAUAUAAAGAUACUACGGUGGUAAAAUAUGUUCUAUUUGGUUACAAACAUAAGUAUAAUACAACAACAAAUACAACCACAAACAAGGAUUAGAUACCCUUCUAUGUAGUACGAGAAAAAUAUUCAUUGGGUAUUAAAGUACCUACCCAAACUCAAAUAACAUGGCGGUAAUUUUAACGCUUAGGGGAACUUACCUGAUAAAUGAUAACCACCAAGCGAAGCUACUUUAGGUUAGAUUUUGUAUGCCGUCGUCUAGAUUAAAUAUGAUAUUUAAUCCUAAGUAAUCCCUAACUUAUGACAGAUCUAGGUGCAGACCAUCCUAAAGAUAAGGCGAGUUACAUUAAUAAUUUAUUUCUAUUGGUAGAUUUAUAAUACCUAACUAGUUGGACUUAAUAGUAAGAGUUCUAUUAUAAUUACGAUCUGAAUUUAAAUAAAAUUGUGC